RNAcentral lists this ribosomal RNA (611 nucleotides) under uncultured bacterium. Its description in RNAcentral is "bacterial SSU rRNA". It matches the Rfam family "Bacterial small subunit ribosomal RNA", at positions 9 to 612 of the family's 1533-position model. The record is from RNAcentral.
GGAGUUUGAUCAUGGCUCAGGAUGAACGCUAGCGACAGGCUUAACACAUGCAAGUCGAGGGGUAACAGGGGAAGCUUGCUUUCCGCUGACGACCGGCGCACGGGUGCGUAACGCGUAUACAAUCUACCUAUUACAGGGGGAUAGCCCAGAGAAAUUUGGAUUAAUACCCCAUAGUAUUAUAAGAUGGCAUCAUUUUAUAAUUAAAGCUUCGGUGGUAAUAGAUGAGUAUGCGUCCUAUUAGUUAGUUGGUAAGGUAAUGGCUUACCAAGACAUCGAUAGGUAGGGGUCCUGAGAGGGAGAUCCCCCACACUGGUACUGAGACACGGACCAGACUCCUACGGGAGGCAGCAGUGAGGAAUAUUGGGCAAUGGACAAGAGUCUGACCCAGCCAUGUCGCGUGCAGGAAGACGGCUUUAUGAGUUGUAAACUGCUUUUAUAUAGGAAGAAACCCUUCGACGUGUUGGAGGCUGACGGUACUAUAUGAAUAAAGACCGGCUAACUCCGUGCCAGCAGCCGCGGUAAUACGGAGGGUCUAAGCGUUAUCCGGAAUCAUUGGGUUUAAAGGGUCCGUAGGCGGGCUAAUAAGUCAGAGGUGAAAUCCCACAGCUUAA